Apodemus sylvaticus (European woodmouse) is the source of this 2092-nucleotide long non-coding RNA. RefSeq lists it as uncharacterized. The record is from RefSeq and is a predicted model, not a curated record. The transcript is spliced from 4 exons. NCBI's taxonomy places the organism in Eukaryota, Metazoa, Chordata, Mammalia, Rodentia, Muridae.
GGGCGGAUGGCGAUUGGCUGGUCCGGGUUGCCGGAGCCCGAGCCUGCGUCUUUUGUCUGCCCUGCUCCAGCUGAGGAGCGGCGACGGCUGCGCGCCCCAAGCGAGCCAAUCAGAAGAUAGCCGGCGCCGGCCGAAAUGGAUGAGAAUUUUCUUCUGUGCUCUGAAUAUAGUGGAUGAUCUCAGAGUUCUCUGUGCCAGAAGACUCUGCCUGGAAUUCAGCCAAAAGUUCUUCAUGAUUAAAGGAAUGAACUGUCCAAUGAUUCUCAAGGCAGUGGUGAGUCCUUCUGUGCUUGGUCCUCUUGCAGCUCCACUACUUUGCAUUUUCUGUGGCAGAUUCACCAAAGAACUUACCCCAUCUCCAGUAGUGAUCACAUGCAACAAAUGAUGUUGGCUUCCAGGAGCGAUAAUGCCUUCUGUCCUGUGAGAAGAUUUCCUCUGUGGAAAAUGGGAUCGUAUGUGACAUUUCUGACCAUGAAGAAUCACAUUCUGCCUCCUGGAAUCAAGAGUACUCUCCACAAAAGACAUCUGUGCUGAGGCAGCAAUUACCAUGUGCUUGUCAUCAGAUCAGCACCAGGGUCUUCCCCGGGUGUCUCGGAGCUGCCACUGCCCCUGAACUGAAUGGGGCAUUUACCACACUGUUAUAGAUAGAUCAGCUGACCAUCAUGCACAGGCCCCAAGAGCCUAUCAAUUAGCUCCUGUUCGUUUGUUAGCCCCUGUCCAAACACACAAACAGUCUGGCUCUGGCCCUGCAGUCACAUUAUCAGUCUCCUCCAGCCUCUGGACGAGUGAUAAGACAUGAGCUUGCUGUCCUCCACCAUCCCUCAUCUCCCCUUGGAUAAAGUGUCAGUUAAUUAGCUAAUGUGAGUAAACACGCCUGAAGCCGAUUUAAAAAAAAAAAAAAAAGCUCAGCCAGGCUAUUGUCCUGGGCCCCUCCGAGAAGCCCUGUCCAUCCCUAAGUCUGCCCACAAGAUUCCCCUUCAGCCUCUCAUUCAGAAAGCUACCCAGGGACCAGUGAGGUGGCCCAGCAAGUAACCCAAGCUUGAACACCCCAGUUAGAUACCCAGGGCCCACACAGUGGAAAAAGAAAGCCAACGUGUGCAGUUGUCUUCAGUCCUCCACAUGGUGCUGUGACACGUGUGUGCUAACACGCAAACACAGACAAUAAAUAAUAUAAUAAAGAAAAAUAAAAGCAACUUAGUAGCUUCACAGACUCAGCAUUCCCCCAAAUUAUCAAAUGGUGGAUGAUCUUUGAUUUCUUCUUGGAGGUAAACAGACCAUUUACCAUGUCAACCACCUUUUUUAAAUGAACCGUGAGGGAGUCAUCCCUCCUGCUGAGUGUACGCCCAGCACUAAUACCAAGCCCACCAUCUCUCCAUCCAAGUUCUGAAAGCUAUAAGAAAUCUCUGUUAAGAAAGCUGAUCUCUGGGAGGCAGAGGCAGGCGGAUUUCUGAGUUCAAGGCCAGCCUGGUCUAAAGAGUGAGUUCCAGAGCUACACAGAGAAACUCUGUCUCGGAAAAAAAAAAGAAGAAAGCUGAUCCCCAAAGGGAGUCAUAAUGGCUAAAAUGCCUCUAACACACCCAAACCUACAGAAAUUCCCUGCAAUUUGUCCAGUGUCAAAACAGGAAGUGCCCAAGACAGACACAUGCCUGCCCUCUACCUCCGGUCUCCACCACACCCCAGGUGUGUCUGUGGGAUAGAAUUGAUAGAGGCUCUACCCUAAAGCCCAGUCUCAUUGGGCAGCACUUGGGCAAUUCUCCGUGCUCCUUGAGGGUCCUCAGGGAGGAGCUGCAGCAUCCAUCCCCUGCAUCCUGUUCUCCUCUGCGUUUGUAUCCCUAAGGCCUCAGCAGCAUUCAGCUUUUACAGGUUCCUGGAUUGUCCCACUCCAAUCCUUCCCCUCCCCCACCCCAGCUGCAGCCGGAGGGAUCACUUGAAGACAUAAUUAUGACUCCGUUGCUUCCUGCCUAAAAGUGUUUGAUGGCACAGAGUAAAUCCAAACUGCCUGCCUUUGCAGUCCGGCCCCUGCUGACCAUCUUAGGCUGUUCCCCUUUCCUCCACUGUGACUUGUGCUCACGGUGCCUGCCUCACACCAUUU